AAUGUUAAAAAUAACUUAAUAUUAUUAGUCUUCUAGAUUGACUAUAUUAUUUUCUAAAUACUAAAUUCAAAGGAUAUUAUAGUCAACAAAAGGUUUUGGUGUUUUCCUUUUAAAAAUUUGGGGAUCUUUGUGACUAUUUUCUCAAUUUUUAUGAGUGUAGGUGUCCUUUUUCUUAAAAAAUUGAAUUUGUUUUCAUUCCUUCUCUAGGGUGUAGCAUGUCAUAGAGCACAUGUACAUUCACCAAUGGAAGCACGAUGAAGAACUCAACACUAGGUUGAACUGCGUUUGUGUUGAAAAUAUAAGUUAUUAUAAUAAAAUUUUCAAAUCUUUGAAGUUGAAAGCAUUUAUAAUGGAAACUCUUUUACCAUUUAUGAAUGGACUUAAUUGAGGAGAAAAUAAGCGAUAACAAGAGUUUGUGUUAACAAGGAGUAGGUCAAUAAGAAAAAUAUAUUUUGUAUUACUAAGAGUUGGAAAAACAGAUAAAGAAAAAAAAAAGGCUGUUGAUAUUAUACUAAAAAACACUGUAAGAGCGGAGAUACAUAAGUCUGAAGUUUAAUUAAGGAUAUUUUGUAAUUAUAAGAGAUUAAGAGUGUUAUAAGAAAUUUAUAUUAUUUAAAACAUUUUAAUAAGGUAAAUAAAAAAAAAGAGAGAUUUAAAAGGUUCUUAGAGAGUGCCAAUAGUUCAACUCUAGAAAUUAACAACUUCAAAUUAAUUAAAAGUCUCAAUCGUAGGUGAACUCAUUGUUGUCAUCAUCCAAAUAGUUCAAUUAAAAUUAGUGUCGUCUCUUAAUCCAAUUAAAAUUCUUGCUUGAAAGAAGAGAUCGAUGGUCCAAAGUUGUAUUAAUUAAUUUUGACUUUGAACUUAGCAUGGAGGAGAAUUAAUCAAGUUGUGUGAAUAAAAUAUAGUCUUGGCUCCUUCAAGGCUCAUGUAUGUGUCACAUACAUCUAUUGUUAACUUUUUUUUAUCAAUUAAUUACUUGAUUAAUUAAGGCUUACGUGUCACACGCUACUCCCCGUUUAAACAUUUACGUAAUCUUUUUGAUUAAUUGAUCAAUUCAGAAGUCCUUUCCAAUUUAUUCAAGUGAAAUGGCUAGUAAGGUUUACAUUCACAAUUUUAGCAUUGUUGAUUUAUAGAAGUCAAUUUAUUUAAUUAAUUGAUUAAUUGAGAAUGUAAAUUGUUUGAAUGCCUAAGGUGGAUAACAUGUAAGAAUAGUUCUAGUCGACAAAAUUUGAAUUGCCAAUAGAGGGGGCUUUACAAAUUAGUAUUAAAAUCAGACUAGUGUAUGUUUUUUUUUUUUUUGAUUUAAUGUAGUAAGUUAUAGAGUACGUUUGGGAUUGAGGUUAGACAGAUAUACCUUAAAAGAUACAUCAUUAAAGUGUUUGGUAAACACUACCUGCUGUACCUUGAAAGCUAUGUUGAUAUAAAUUUUCACUUAUAUAAUAGAAAAUCUAUUAUAUCUUUAAUAAUUUUGUUAAAAUUAUUAUUUAAAAUUUAUAUUUAUUAUAUAUUAUUAAUUUUUUUUUCAUAAUUAUAACUUUUUUUUUAACAGCACCUCAAACCAUAGUCAAUAGAUUCGUACUGGUUUCGGCAACUGAAGUCGACUACUCAGAUAGCCCAUAGAUUUAUUGACAUUUUCCCCGUAACAGAAAUAAAACGCGUGCAUAUCUUUGAGACAUUUUCGCCUUAUUUUUUGGUUGCAUCGAAUAAGUAUAAAAUUAAGGUGGCCGUCUCUUUGAGACAAAAGAGAGCCUCUUGGAAGCACAUCAUUCCCAAACUGCAUUGUUUUAAUUUAUAAGCCGAAAUUCAAUCAAACUCACUCUUAUUUAAAUAAGAGUUUAUUUAAAUUGGGGAUUUGUAGUUAAUGCCCACAUCGAAUUGGGGAUUUGUAACUCAAAAUUGGGGAGUUUUCAAUCCAUGCCAUUAUCUGGGAUUAUCAAUACAAAAUUUGGGGAAAAGAUACAACAUACAUUCCAAAUUUUAAUUUUUUAAACUUAUGUCACAAAAGUAUAUAUUUUGGACAAUUUGAUUUUUUUUUUGUUAUCGGAUAAAAUAUAGUCAAAUUAUAUUAUGUUUAAACAACAUUAGUGAUCAAUUAUGGUCAAGAGACUUAUGUAAAGAAUUGGAUAAAAUUAAUUAAUUGCUAAACUUUCUCUUUAUUUUAAAAUUUGAAAAAUAAUGUGAUCUUUUAUAAAUUAUUUCUUGAUAUAGUGUGGAUUUACAUAUAUUGUAGCUCUCUACCCUUAUUUAAUAGUCCAUUUAUUAUUAAUUACCCGAAAUGCCCUUUCUAAGUUUAUGAAAUUUUUAAAACAGAAAAGUUAUCUACUCUUUUGUUGUGUUUACUUUCUGGAGUGGGAGUGAGAAAUGUAGAUUUCUUCCACUCCAGUAUUUACUUUAACAUUUUAAGAGAGAAUUGAGAAUCUCACUUCAUGAGCUCCACCUAUUUUUGGAGUGGGCAGUGGGAGUAGGACUCCCAUGGGGAGAGGUGGGAGUGGAUCCUUUUGUACUCUCUUUUU
This 2513-nucleotide long non-coding RNA is filed under the name Citrus x clementina. RNAcentral describes it as "Citrus clementina (C. clementina) long non-coding RNA (CCLE_LNC001606)". The record is from RNAcentral. Lineage: Eukaryota; Viridiplantae; Streptophyta; Magnoliopsida; Sapindales; Rutaceae.